GACGAACGCUGGCGGCGUGCCUAAUACAUGCAAGUCGAACGCUUCUUUCCUCCCGAGUGCUUGCACUCAAUUGGAAAGAGGAGUGGCGGACGGGUGAGUAACACGUGGGUAACCUACCCAUCAGAGGGGGAUAACACUUGGAAACAGGUGCUAAUACCGCAUAACAGUUUAUGCCGCAUGGCAUAAGAGUGAAAGGCGCUUUCGGGUGUCGCUGAUGGAUGGACCCGCGGUGCAUUCGCUAGUUGGUGAGGUAACGGCUCACCAAGGCCACGAUGCAUAGCCGACCUGAGAGGGUGAUCGGCCACACUGGGACUGAGACACGGCCCAGACUCCUACGGGAGGCAGCAGUAGGGAAUCUUCGGCAAUGGACGAAAGUCUGACCGAGCAACGCCGCGUGAGUGAAGAAGGUUUUCGGAUCGUAAAACUCUGUUGUUAGAGAAGAACAAGGACGUUAGUAACUGAACGUCCCCUGACGGUAUCUAACCAGAAAGCCACGGCUAACUACGUG
RNAcentral lists this ribosomal RNA (508 nucleotides) under uncultured bacterium. RNAcentral's name for it is "partial 16S ribosomal RNA". It matches the Rfam family "Bacterial small subunit ribosomal RNA", at positions 28 to 507 of the family's 1533-position model. The record is from RNAcentral.